This 313-nucleotide ribosomal RNA is filed under the name uncultured bacterium. Its description in RNAcentral is "bacterial SSU rRNA". It matches the Rfam family "Bacterial small subunit ribosomal RNA", at positions 28 to 334 of the family's 1533-position model. The record is from RNAcentral.
GAUAAACGCUGGCGGCGCACAUAAGACAUGCAAGUCGAACGAACUUAACCAUUAGUUUACUAUUGGAGCGGUUAGUGGCGGACUGGUGAGUAACACGUAAGCAACCUGCCUAUCAGAGGGGAACAACAGUUAGAAAUGACUGCUAAUACCGCAUAUGCCUAAGUACCACAUGGUACAAUAGGGAAAGGAGAAAUCCGCUGAUAGACGGGCUUGCGUCUGAUUAGCUAGUUGGUGGGUAACGGCUCACCAAGGCGACGAUCAGUAGCCGACCUGAGAGGGUGACCGGCCACAUUGGGACUGAGACACGGCCCAA